UUGUUCUCACGCUUAAUCACCAGAUUUUAAUCUUAAUCCCCAAUCAAUACUGAGUAAUUCUAUAAAGCUAUAGAAAAUUUUAUGUUAAAACUAGUAACAAGAAGAGGACUCUUCUCUUAAAUGUAAGUGUACAUCAGAAAGGACAAACCACUGAUACUUAACACCCAUGAGUCUAAAGUAGUAACCAACCAAGAAAACUCUACUUCCACCUAUGUUAACCUAACACAAGAACAUUUAAAGAAAGAUUAAAAGAAAAAGAAGGAACUCGGCAAAUAUUAACCUCGCCUGUUUACCAAAAACAUCGCCUCUUGAAUUUUAUAAGAGGUCCAGCCUGCCCAGUGACUCUGUUCAACGGCCGCGGUAUCCUAACCGUGCGAAGGUAGCGUAAUCACUUGUUCUUUAAAUGUGGACUAGUAUGAAUGGCACCACGAAGGUUAUACUGUCUCCUUUUUCUAAUCAGUGAAACUAAUCUCCCCGUGAAGAAGCGGGGAUAAAGCUAUAAGACGAGAAGACCCUAUGGAGCUUUAAACAACAUAGCACUUGCCACACACCAUUAAAAUUCCAGAAUCUUCAAUUCUCUGAGCAAUAUGACUAUGAGUUUUUGGUUGGGGUGACCGCGGAGCAUAACACAACCUCCAUGUUGAAAGAAUCAUUUUCUAAGCUAAGAACUACAACUCUGAGCAUCAACAUAUUGACAUCCAUUGACCCAAUACACUUGAACAACGAACCAAGUUACCCUAGGGAUAACAGCGCAGUCCACUUCAAGAGCUCCUAUCGACAGUGGGUUUACGACCUCGAUGUUGGAUCAGGGUUUCCCAGUGGUGCAGCCGCUACUAAAGGUUCGUUUGUUCAACGAUAAAACCCUACGUGA
RNAcentral lists this ribosomal RNA (871 nucleotides) under Bufotes viridis (European green toad). RNAcentral's name for it is "partial 16S ribosomal RNA". It matches the Rfam family "Bacterial large subunit ribosomal RNA", at positions 1215 to 2603 of the family's 2925-position model. The record is from RNAcentral. Lineage: Eukaryota; Metazoa; Chordata; Amphibia; Anura; Bufonidae.